UCAGGAAUUAUUUUUCUAGCGAAAGAUUAAUUGAAGAGAUUAAUUAGUGCAUAAGGUGAAAAGGUUACAUGGACGGCUGCAAACUGAACCGUGCAUGAAGUCACCUCACAUGCCUUCAUCGUGAGUUACAAAGCAGUUUCUUUUUCUAUAGACUGUUCAACUGUCUUUACGUGGAAACGGAGCAAGUCUUUUUCUACCGCUGUGGCCGUAGAGAGAAUCAGACCAAUUGGCUCCUCUUUGCAAACUGAAUGAUGACAUGCAUAGAUCUCAGUUCUGAUCCAGCACCUACAUGGCCAAGAUACAGAUGUGAACACCUCACCAGCAACUUACCCGACAGUUAAAUAAAUAUUUAGCUUGCAAAACAUGACUCUAGAAAACACAUUCAGAUCAAAUGCAACCAACCCUUAAAAAUACAUUGUUCAUGUGUUGACAGCUUUUGCGUGAUUUAACUACAGGUUACAAAAUAAAUAAAGUAAAAUGAAAUGAAAUAUUCUUAUAAAAAUAAUGUCGAACAAAGAAUAUUCAGUAAUUAUUCAGCAAGGUCGAGACCGCAAGAUGAUCUAUCUGGACGGGCUAACAAUAGUUAACCUCGUGUGCGCGGAUAAAUCAUAAUUAUACACCGAGCACAACUGUGCAUGCAUGCUUACCUUACAAUUCAUAUCAAUUGAAUCAGUUGGGCUGCAGAUUUCACGUUGACCACCUCUUGCCUCUUCAUAGCUACAACCGCCUGUGAAAAAUUUCCCCUCUCACAAAUUUGUUGCAUAUCGUGCUGCGCGGCAAAAGGGGACAAACAGGGGAGGCGGAAACCUUAGAUCAGCACUGAAUCAGAUCGAAUAGGGCCUAGCUAGGCAUGUCCAGAGGGAGGCGGGGAAGGAGGAGACUUACGUGUAGUGCAUCAUAAGUCCUUGGAUCUGAACCGGGGCUCCAGCUUGCCCUUGCCCUACC
RNAcentral lists this long non-coding RNA (945 nucleotides) under Triticum aestivum (bread wheat). RNAcentral's name for it is "long non-coding RNA (TAES_LNC011545)". Lineage: Eukaryota; Viridiplantae; Streptophyta; Magnoliopsida; Poales; Poaceae. The record is from RNAcentral.